Molecule: ribosomal RNA, 427 nt
Filed under: uncultured bacterium
Lineage: Bacteria
Description: bacterial SSU rRNA
Rfam family: Bacterial small subunit ribosomal RNA
Source: RNAcentral
UGGGGAAUUUUGGACAAUGGGCGCAAGCCUGAUCCAGCCAUGCCGCGUGCAGGAUGAAGGCCUUCGGGUUGUAAACUGCUUUUGUACGGAACGAAAAGGUGCCUUCUAAUAAAGGGCGCUCAUGACGGUACCUUACGAAUAAGCACCGGCUAACUACGUGCCAGCAGCCGCGGUAAAACGUAGGGUGCGAGCGUUAAUCGGAAUUACUGGGCGUACAGCGUGCGCAGGCGGUUUUGUAAGACAGAGGUGAAAUCCCCGGGCUCAACCUGGGAACUGCCUUUGUGACUGCAAGGCUGGAGGGCGGCAGAGGGGGGUGGAAUUCCGCGUGUAGCAGUGAAAUGCGUAGAUAGGCGGAGGAACACCGAUGGCGAAGGCAAUCCCCUGGGCCUGUACUGACGCUCAUGCACGAAAGCGUUGGGAGCAAACA